Molecule: ribosomal RNA, 508 nt
Filed under: uncultured bacterium
Lineage: Bacteria
Description: partial 16S ribosomal RNA
Rfam family: Bacterial small subunit ribosomal RNA
Source: RNAcentral
AUUGAACGCUGGCGGCAUGCCUUACACAUGCAAGUCGAACGGCAGCGGGGGAGAAGCUUGCUUUUCCUGCCGGCGAGUGGCGAACGGGUGAGUAAUACAUCGGAACGUGCCCUGUAGUGGGGGAUAACUAGUCGAAAGAUUAGCUAAUACCGCAUACGACCUGAGGGUGAAAGUGGGGGACCGCAAGGCCUCAUGCUAUAGGAGCGGCCGAUGUCUGAUUAGCCAGUUGGUGGGGUAAAGGCCUACCAAGGCGACGAUCAGUAGCUGGUCUGGGAGUACAAUCAGCCAGACUGGGACUGGGACACGGCGCAGACUCCUACGGGAGGCAGCAGUGGGGAAUUUUUGACAAUGGGCGAAAGCCUGAUCCAGCAAUGCCGCGUGUGUGAAGAAGGCCUUCGGGUUGUAAAGCACUUUUGUCCGAAAAGAAAUGGCUCUGGUUAAUACCUGGGGUCGAUGACGGUACCGGAAGAAUAAGGACCGGCUAACUACGUGCCAGCCGCCGCAGUAA